CUGAGUCUUAUCUCGAAACCCUUUGUGAACCUUUAUAACCUGUUGCUUCGGCGGCGCGGCCCCCGGGUCGUGCCCGCCGGUAUCAUCAGAAUCUCUGUUCGAACCCGACGAUACUUCUGAGUGUUCUAAGCGAACUGUUA
Molecule: unclassified non-coding RNA, 140 nt
Filed under: soil metagenome
Description: partial internal transcribed spacer 1
Source: RNAcentral